UCUUUCUCUCUCCUCCGUGGUGUAUGCAUCUGGUUGAUGUAUUAUGCCAUCGGCCAUCUCCAGGAAAGAAAAAUUCCGCCGUCCCUGCCUUCUAAUUAUUUCCCUCUCCUCCUCCAUAGAUCAUGCAUUUGGUCCUUGGAGUUUUGGCAGUCUACGACUCUUAACAAGAGAUGUGCACCAAGAAAAGAUUAUACUAGCUAUAGUCAACCCUGUAGAUCGGCUGCAGAAGAAGACUGCUUGGUCCUUGCUGAGAUUGGACUUUGUUGAUGUGCUGAGGGGUGCCAUGCCACGAGCCAAUGGUGAGUACUGCCGGACGACAACUGUUCUUUUAUGUACGCUGCAUCCCGUAGCUGAUCUAUAUGCGCCAAAGGCCCCUACUGGGCAGGUUUGACCUUUGUUGUACGUAUUAAGCAAGAUCAAGGAUUGAUUAUCAUUUCGAG
Molecule: long non-coding RNA, 440 nt
Filed under: Hordeum vulgare
Lineage: Eukaryota; Viridiplantae; Streptophyta; Magnoliopsida; Poales; Poaceae
Description: long non-coding RNA (HVUL_LNC000555)
Source: RNAcentral